RNAcentral lists this ribosomal RNA (369 nucleotides) under uncultured Terracoccus sp. RNAcentral describes it as "bacterial SSU rRNA". It matches the Rfam family "Bacterial small subunit ribosomal RNA", at positions 1044 to 1413 of the family's 1533-position model. The record is from RNAcentral. Lineage: Bacteria; Bacillati; Actinomycetota; Actinomycetes; Micrococcales; Intrasporangiaceae.
CAUGGUUGUCGUCAGCUCGUGCCGUGAGGUGUCGGCUUAAGUGCCAUAACGAGCGCAACCCUCGUUCCAUGUUGCCAGCACGUAAUGGUGGGGACUCAUGGGAGACUGCCGGGGUCAACUCGGAGGAAGGUGGGGACGACGUCAAAUCAUCAUGCCCCUUAUGUCUUGGGCUUCACGCAUGCUACAAUGGCCGGUACAAAGGGCUGCGAUACCGCGAGGUGGAGCGAAUCCCAAAAACCGGUCUCAGUUCGGAUUGGGGUCUGCAACUCGACCCCAUGAAGUCGGAGUCGCUAGUAAUCGCAGAUCAGCAACGCUCGCGGUCCGAUACGUUCCGGGCCUUGUACACACCGCCCGCCGUCGACGCGGCCG